This 253-nucleotide ribosomal RNA is filed under the name uncultured bacterium. Its description in RNAcentral is "partial 16S ribosomal RNA". It matches the Rfam family "Bacterial small subunit ribosomal RNA", at positions 524 to 776 of the family's 1533-position model. The record is from RNAcentral.
UACGGAGGGUGCAAGCAUUAAUCGGAAUUAUUGGGCGUAAAGGGCGCGCAGGCGGUGAUGUAAGACAGAUGUGAAAUCCCCGGGCUCAACCUGGGAACUGCAUUUGUGACUGCAUCGCUGGAGUGCGGCAGAGGGGGAUGGAAUUCCGCGUGUAGCAGUGAAAUGCGUAGAUAUGCGGAGGAACACCGAUGGCGAAGGCAAUCCCCUGGGCCUGCACUGACGCUCAUGCACGAAAGCGUGGGGAGCAAACAGG